GAGGACCAUCUCCUAAGGCUAAAUACUCUCUAGUGACCGAUAGUGAACCAGUACCGUGAGGGAAAGGUGAAAAGCACCCCGGAAGGGGAGUGAAAUAGAACCUGAAACCGUGUGCUUACAAGUAGUCAGAGCCCGUUAAUGGGUGAUGGCGUGCCUUUUGUAGAAUGAACCGGCGAGUUACGAUUUGAUGCAAGGUUAAGCAGUAAAUGUGGAGCCGUAGCGAAAGCGAGUCUGAAUAGGGCGUUUAGUAUUUGGUCGUAGACCCGAAACCAGGUGAUCUACCCUUGGUCAGGUUGAAGUUCAGGUAACACUGAAUGG
This 318-nucleotide ribosomal RNA is filed under the name Staphylococcus aureus. Its description in RNAcentral is "partial 23S ribosomal RNA". It matches the Rfam family "Bacterial large subunit ribosomal RNA", at positions 448 to 769 of the family's 2925-position model. The record is from RNAcentral. Lineage: Bacteria; Bacillati; Bacillota; Bacilli; Caryophanales; Staphylococcaceae.